CAGGUACUGUUAGCGUUUGAGGUGAAGUUCUGUUAUACACUCAGGCUGUGGCUCCAAAAGUCAGUGCAUCACAGAACUUUGUCUCGGAAGCUUUCUA
MicroRNA precursor from Mesocricetus auratus (golden hamster), 97 nucleotides. NCBI's taxonomy places the organism in Eukaryota, Metazoa, Chordata, Mammalia, Rodentia, Cricetidae. The record is from Ensembl.